GUGCCAGCAGCCGCGGUAAUACCCGCAGCUCAAGUGGUGGUCGCUUUUAUUGAGCCUAAAACGUUCGUAGUCGGCUUUGUAAAUCCUUGGGUAAAUCGGGCCGCUCAACGGUUCGAAUUCUGAGGAGACUACAAAGCUAGGGACCGGGCGAGGUCAGAGGUACUUUCGGGGUAGGAGUGAAAUCCUGUAAUCCCGAAGGGACCACCUGUGGCGAAAGCGUCUGACUUGAACGGCUCCGACGAUGAGGAACGAAGGCUAGGGGAGCAAACCGGAUUAGAUACCCGGGUAGUCCUAGCUGUAAACUCUGCCCGCUUGGUGCGGCCUGUUCUUCGGGAGCAGGCUGUGCCGGAGCGAAGGUGUUAAGCGGGCUGCUUGGGGAGUACGGCCGCAAGGUUGAAACUUAAAGGAAUUGGCGGGGGAGCACCGCAACGGGAGGAUGCGUGCGGUUUAAUUGGAUUCAACGCCGGAAAACUCACCUGAGGCGACCAGCGUAUGUGUGUCAGGCUGAAGACCUUACUCGAACAAAAGCUGGAGAGGUGGUGCAUGGCCAUCGUCAGCUCGUACCGUAGGGCAUUCACUUAAGUGUGAUAACGAGCGAGACCCCCAUCCCUAGUUGCCAACUUUCCCGAAGGGAAAGGUGCACUCUAGGGAGACCGCUUCUGCUAAAGAAGAGGAAGGAGGGGUCGACGGUAGGUCAGUAUGCCCCGAAUCCUCAGGGCUACACGCGCGCUACAAAGGACAGGACAAUGGGUUCCAACCCCGAAAGGGGAAGGUAAUCCCAAAACCUGUUCGUAGUCCGGAUUGAGGGCUGUAACUCGCCCUCAUGAAGAUGGAUUCCGUAGUAAUCGCGGAUCAACAGUCCGCGGUGAAUAUGCCCCUGCUCCUUGCACACACCGCCCGUCAAACCAUCCGAGUCGGUUUUGGGUGAGGCCCUGUCUUUGUGGCAGGUUCGAACCCAAGGUCGGCGAGGAGGGUUAAGUCGUAACAAGGUAUCCGUAGGGGAACCUGCGGCUGGAUCACCUCCUU
RNAcentral lists this ribosomal RNA (1026 nucleotides) under uncultured archaeon. Its description in RNAcentral is "bacterial SSU rRNA". It matches the Rfam family "Archaeal small subunit ribosomal RNA", at positions 455 to 1478 of the family's 1478-position model. The record is from RNAcentral.